RNAcentral lists this ribosomal RNA (477 nucleotides) under uncultured bacterium. RNAcentral's name for it is "partial 16S ribosomal RNA". It matches the Rfam family "Bacterial small subunit ribosomal RNA", at positions 28 to 523 of the family's 1533-position model. The record is from RNAcentral.
GACGAACGCUGGCGGCGUGCUUAACACAUGCAAGUCGAACGGUAAGGCCCUUCGGGGUACACGAGUGGCGAACGGGUGAGUAACACGUGGGUGAUCUGCCCUGCACUUCGGGAUAAGCCUGGGAAACUGGGUCUAAUACCGGAUAGGACCACUGCCUGCAUGGGUGGUGGUGGAAAGCUUUUGCGAUGUGGGAUGGGCCCGCGGCCUAUCAGCUUGUUGGUGGGGUGAUGGCCUACCAAGGCGACGACGGGUAGCCGGCCUGCGAGGGUGACCGGCCACACUGGGACUGAGAUACGGCCCAGACUCCUACGGGAGGCAGCAGUGGGGAAUAUGCACAAUGGGCGCAAGCCUGAUGCAGCGACGCCGCGUGAGGGAUGACGGCCUUCGGGUUGUAAACCUCUUUCAGCACCGACGAAGCGCAAGUGACGGUAGGUGCAGAAGAAGGACCGGCCAACUACGUGCCAGCCGCCGCUGUAA